Molecule: ribosomal RNA, 396 nt
Filed under: uncultured bacterium
Lineage: Bacteria
Description: partial 16S ribosomal RNA
Rfam family: Bacterial small subunit ribosomal RNA
Source: RNAcentral
AUACGUAGGUGGCAAGCGUUGUCCGGAAUUAUUGGGCGUAAAGCGCAUGUAGGCGGUUUGGUAAGUCGGUCGUGAAAAUGCGGUGCUUAACGCCGUAUGGCGAUUGAAACUGCUGAACUUGAGUGCAGGAGAGGAAAGGGGAACUCCCAGUGUAGCGGUGAAAUGCGUAGAUAUCGGGAAGAACACCGGUGGCGAAGGCGCCUUUCUGGACUGUGUCUGACGCUCAGAUGCGAAAGCCAGGGUAGCGAACGGGAUUAGAUACCCCGGUAGUCCUGGCCGUAAACGAUGGGUACUAGGUGUGGGAGGUAUCGACUCCUUCCGUGCCGGAGUUAACGCAAUAAGUACCCCGCCUGGGGAGUACGGCCGCAAGGCUUAAACUCAAAUGAAUUGACGGGG